This 468-nucleotide ribosomal RNA is filed under the name uncultured bacterium. Its description in RNAcentral is "partial 16S ribosomal RNA". It matches the Rfam family "Bacterial small subunit ribosomal RNA", at positions 28 to 507 of the family's 1533-position model. The record is from RNAcentral.
GACGAACGCUGGCGGCGUGCUUAACACAUGCAAGUCGAACGGAAAGGCCCUGCUUUUGUGGGGUGCGCGAGUGGCGAACGGGGGAGUAACACGUGAGUAAACUGCCCUUGACUGUGGGAUACCAUCAGGAAAAUGGGGCUAAUACCGGAUAGGAGCUCCUGCUGCAUGGGGGGGGUUGGAGAGUUUCGGCGGUUGGGGAUGGACUCGCGGCCUAUCAGCUUGUUGGUGGGGUAGUGGCUUAACAAGGCUUUGACGGGUAGCCGGCCUGGGAGGGUGACCGGCCACAUUGGGACUGAGAUACGGCCCAGAGUCCUACGGGAGGCAGCAGUGGGGAAUAGUGCACAAUGGGCGGAAGCCUGAUGCAGCAACGCCGCGUGCGGGAUGACGGCCUUCGGGUUGUAAACCGCUUUCGCCUGUGACGAAGCGUGAGUGACGGUAAUGGGUAAAGAAGCACCGGCUAACUACGUG